AGAGUUUGAUCCUGGCUCAGAACGAACGCUGGCGGCAGGCCUCAAACAUGCAAGUCUAGGGGGUGUAGCAAUACAUCACCGGCGGACGGGUGCGUAACACGUGGGAAUAUACCUUUUGGUUCGGAACAACGCAGGGGAAACUUGCGCUAAUACCGAAUGUGCCCUUACGGGGAAAGAUUUAUCGCCAAAGGAUUAGCCCGCGUCCGAUUAGCUAGUUGGUGAGGUAAUGGCUCACCAAGGCUCCGAUCGGUAGCUGUUCUGAGAGGAAGAUCAGCCACACUGGGACUGAGACACGGCCCAGACUCCUACGGGAGGCAGCAGUUGGGAAUCUUGGACAAUGGGGGAAACCCUGAUCCAGCCAUGCCGCGUGAGUGAUGAAGGCCUUCGGGUUGUAAAACUCUUUCGACGGGGACGAUAAUGACGGUACCCGUAGAAGAAGCUCCGGCUAACUUCGUGCCAGCAGCCGCGGUAAUACGAAGGGGGCUAGCGUUGUUCGGAAUUACUGGGCGUAAAGCGCGCGCAGGCGGUCUUCCAAGUCAGUGGUGAAAGCCCGGAGCUCAACUCCGGAACUGCCAUUGAAACUGUAAGACUUGAGGAUGAGAGAGGUGAGUGGAAUUCCCAGUGUAGAGGUGAAAUUCGUAGAUAUUGGGAAGAACACCGGUGGCGAAGGCGGCUCACUGGCUCAUAUCUGACGCUCAGGCGCGACAGCGUGGGGAUCAAACAGGAUUAGAUACCCUAGUAGUCC
Molecule: ribosomal RNA, 745 nt
Filed under: uncultured bacterium
Lineage: Bacteria
Description: bacterial SSU rRNA
Rfam family: Bacterial small subunit ribosomal RNA
Source: RNAcentral